RNAcentral lists this transfer RNA (76 nucleotides) under Bacilli bacterium. Its description in RNAcentral is "tRNA-Lys". It matches the Rfam family "tRNA". Rfam says of the family: Transfer RNA (tRNA) molecules are approximately 80 nucleotides in length. Their secondary structure includes four short double-helical elements and three loops (D, anti-codon, and T loops). RNAcentral also lists the same sequence under 2 other names. The record is from RNAcentral. Lineage: Bacteria; Bacillati; Bacillota; Bacilli.
GUCCUGUUAGCUCAGAUGGUAGAGCAUCUGACUUUUAAUCAGAGGGUCAUAGGUUCGAAUCCUAUACAGGACACCA